CCUACGGGUGGCAGCAGUGAGGAAUAUUGGUCAAUGGACGAGAGUCUGAACCAGCCAAGUAGCGUGAAGGAUGACUGCCCUAUGGGUUGUAAACUUCUUUUAUAAAGGAAUAAAACGAGGCACGUGUGCCUUUUUGCAUGUACUUUAUGAAUAAGGAUCGGCUAACUCCGUGCCAGCAGCCGCGGUAAUACGGAGGAUCCGAGCGUUAUCCGGAUUUAUUGGGUUUAAAGGGAGCGUAGAUGGGUUGUUAAGUCAGUUGUGAAAGUUUGGGGCUCAACCGUAAAAUUGCAAUUGAUACUGGAAGUCUUGAGUACAGGUGAGGUAGGCGGAAUGCGUGGUGUAGCGGUGAAAUGCUUAGAUAUCACGAAGAACCCCGAUUGCGAAGGCAGCUUACUAAAGUGUGACUGACAUUGAUGCUCGAAAGUGUGGGUAUCAAACAGGAUUAGAUACCCGUGUAGUC
RNAcentral lists this ribosomal RNA (460 nucleotides) under uncultured bacterium. Its description in RNAcentral is "partial 16S ribosomal RNA". It matches the Rfam family "Bacterial small subunit ribosomal RNA", at positions 338 to 795 of the family's 1533-position model. The record is from RNAcentral.